Long non-coding RNA from Cydia splendana, 660 nucleotides. RefSeq lists it as uncharacterized. The transcript is spliced from 3 exons. The record is from RefSeq and is a predicted model, not a curated record. NCBI's taxonomy places the organism in Eukaryota, Metazoa, Arthropoda, Insecta, Lepidoptera, Tortricidae.
CCGCCAUUUAUAAAACAUCACAAAAACAUCACAUUCCACAUUUGAAACAUUACCCAAUUCAUUAUUUCAUAGGAAUCGAUAGAAAAACUAUGUUCAAGCACUAGUAAUUAAAUUUACUAACAUUCGCGAUGCCAAAUUUCGUCGGUCACACGAGUGCGAGAGAGACAGAGCGUCCACGCGUUAGAAAGAGACAGCUAUAAGGGCAAAGCUACGCCCAAUCAAUGCAUACUGCCUUCCUGCAGAGCCUCAGUGUGUCCGCGGCGCUCGAGGAGGUGCGUCAACGUAAACUUAAAAAAAAAAUACAAAAAAUAUAUAAAAAAAAUCAAUUGCGCAAAAAAACUCAUCGCGGUUAACGGGUUAAUAUUAAUUUGCAAAUACGUGGUAAUGUUAGUGUGGUCGUGAAUAUAUUUAGAUUUAAACAAAGCGUAUGCAUAAAAUUUGUUUAGUGGUAUUCAAUCAUCAAAGGGAUUUAGAUACAUGUGGUGUUUACGCCGUUUUUGAAAUAAACGCGUCGCAUGCACUGCGUCCUUUGUUCCGGAGCGACGCAAUUCGAAAACGAAAUAAUUGCUCCGGUGUGAAGGGAAAUAAAGAAUCAGGACCGUCAACAUCAAAAUAAAAGGGCACAAUACUAAAACAUAAAAAGUGAGAAAAGGCCACACA